GACCGGGAGUUAGCUGGUAAUGGGUGCCGCCUUGUUGGUUGCUGCCUGCCCCUUUGCUUGUCUGGUAUGCCGAAAGUAACGUUUCGUUUCGUUUGCAGUGCUCAAGGUGAACACCAAAAAGCACCUGGAUGACCUGGUCAAGGACCGGGACUCCUGGAAGGUCAACUGUUGCAGGAUCUGGAAAGGAGUGUCCCCGGUCCUAGACCUGAUCAGUCCCGAGCUCCCGGAGAGCCAGC
RNAcentral lists this long non-coding RNA (236 nucleotides) under Sorghum bicolor (sorghum). Its description in RNAcentral is "long non-coding RNA (SBIC_LNC007053)". Lineage: Eukaryota; Viridiplantae; Streptophyta; Magnoliopsida; Poales; Poaceae. The record is from RNAcentral.